Non-coding RNA from Chloroflexi bacterium RBG_16_51_9, 116 nucleotides. Lineage: Bacteria; Bacillati; Chloroflexota. The record is from Rfam.
UUGACCUUUAAGUUAGUCCAGUGAGGCUAGCAAGGGGAUAAUCCGAGGGGUGAAACCAGAACCUCCUUGGAGUGAGUAAAGUCGAACCUCUUGCUAGGUGGCAAGAGGUUCUUUUU